Molecule: long non-coding RNA, 1698 nt
Filed under: Erythranthe guttata (spotted monkey flower)
Lineage: Eukaryota; Viridiplantae; Streptophyta; Magnoliopsida; Lamiales; Phrymaceae
Description: long non-coding RNA (EGUT_LNC000749)
Source: RNAcentral
GCAAUUUCUUUUUGCUUUUCGUUUGCCCCCUUUUAACACGAAACGGCGUCGUUCCUGUCCUUCCUUCCAAUCAUCUUCUUCAAUUCUUUUCUUUUCGCUUUAUUUUUCAAGCAGCUCGGGGAUAAUCCCUUUUCCUUAUAUGCAAUUUCUUUUUGCUUUUUGUUUGCCCCCUUUUAACACGAAACGGCGUCGUUCCUGUCCUUCCUUCCAAUCAUCUUCUUCAAUUCUUUUCUUUUCGCUUUAUUUUUCAAGCAGCUCGACCAUGUCCUGUGUGCUUUAUUUUCUCUUUUCUUUUAAUCAGUUUGCUGGAAAACGACGUCGUUGAACGCCCGAGCCUAACUAUGGCCAACAAUUGUUGACCUCCGCCGUCCGUGCCUGCCGCCAUCGCUUCGUUCGAUGCCCACCGCCCCGCCGCCAAUGUCAAUUCCAAAAUUGCAUAUAAGGAAAAGGGUAAAUAUAUAAACGGGUAGGAUUAGGAUUGAUUAAAACGUCCAUUUUAUACCAAAAUUAAUAUAUAUAUAUAUAUAUAUAUAUAUAUAUAUAUAUAUAUAUAUAUAUAUAUAUAUAUAUAGGUUAAUAUAUAUAUGUAAUCCUAAUCCUUAGGGGUAGGAUUAGGAUUGAUUGCAUACCUGGUAAUCGAGAGUUGUGGUUGCUUGAUCAAGCGUUGCUUAUAAAAUAAAAGCGAAUCAAUACCAAUGCAUAAAAAUUGGGAGAACUGGAGAAAAAUAAGAGGAGGAUGAAAAUAAAAUCAGUACCAUGGCUGAAAAUAAAAUCAGUAACAUAUAAGAUAUUUUUCCUUAUAUGACCACGACGUCUCUGCUUCUUUUUUCUUAUACCAAUGCGUAUAAGAAAAAUUCAAUGGUUUCUCGCUUGUUAAAAUUGACCAGAAAAUGGGUGAGGAAGAAAACAUCGUAUUCAAUUCAAUGAGCCUCAGUUCUGAGGAUUAAUAGAUAGAGAUGGGAAGGUAAAUAUUUUUGCAGCGGUGGCAGGAGGAGGACAACGCACGUACGGAAGUAUGAGGAAAAAGGGAAGUGGCUGGGAAAAAGGGUUCCGUUGGAAUUAGAACCGUAGAAAUCACACCCACAAAUUUAAGAUAUAGCCGAGGAGGGCGGCGAGGCAUACUCCUGGAGGAAAAAAGCGGCGCCAUGUGAUAGGGGCAUCGGGCGAAGCGGCGGCGGACGUCGGGCGAAGCGGCGGCGGACGCCGGGCGAAGCGGGUGGCGGAGGUCAACAGUUGUGGGCGAUAUGUGAGGUCGGGUCACUGAAACGGCGUCGUUCUGUAGUGAGCAGAGUAAAAGAGAACGGAACGACGUCGUUUGGCAAUAAGCGGAAUAAAAGAAAAAAGCAGAAAUCAAGCAGGCGUGUCACACUCGAGCUGCUUGGAAAAUAAAUGAAAAAGAAAACAAUAGGAGACGCUGAUUGGAGGGAGGGAUUGAAACGGCGCAGUUUUGACCGUCCGUGCCUGCCGCCAUCGCUUCGUUCGAUGCCCACCGCCCCGCCGCCAAUGUCAAUUCCCACCUCUGUUUUCAUCCAAUUGCAGACUUCUUCUUCUCGACUCGACCGACCUCUGCAUUAUUUCUUUUCGCUUUUCUUUCUCGCUUUAUUUUCCCCUUCUUUUGUGCCCCUCUCACUCCACAGCAGUUGCUGGUCGGCGGCCCGCCGUCGUGUCGCUCCAUCCCUCCAACCGUUGUUUUCCUUU